Molecule: ribosomal RNA, 277 nt
Filed under: uncultured bacterium
Lineage: Bacteria
Description: partial 16S ribosomal RNA
Rfam family: Bacterial small subunit ribosomal RNA
Source: RNAcentral
CCUUUGAAGUUAGCGGCGGACGGGUGAGUAACACGUGGGUAACCUACCUAUAAGACUGGGAUAACUUCGGGAAACCGGAGCUAAUACCGGAUAACAUUUAGAACCGCAUGGUUCUAAAGUGAAAGAUGGUUUUGCUAUCACUUAUAGAUGGACCCGCGCCGUAUUAGCUAGUUGGUAAGGUAACGGCUUACCAAGGCGACGAUACGUAGCCGACCUGAGAGGGUGAUCGGCCACACUGGAACUGAGACACGGUCCAGACUCCUACGGAAGGCAGCAG